This is a non-coding RNA of Pelobates cultripes (western spadefoot toad), 1362 nucleotides long. The record is from the annotation of a GenBank genome assembly. NCBI's taxonomy places the organism in Eukaryota, Metazoa, Chordata, Amphibia, Anura, Pelobatidae.
CUUGGAAAUUCUAUACAAUAUUUGCCAAUUUCAUUAAACCAGGAAAAGACAAUGGAGUUUUAGUUUAAAAUGGUCAAAUUUGGAACAAACUUCAAGCCAGUUAUUUUUGUAAGUGUGUCUUUUAUAUCCUGUGCGAUCUCAAUAACUUUCAGUUUAGUAAAUGACGCCAUGUAAGCCAAGGAAUAUCAGCUUUACUGUGUGUCAACAACUGUGAGAGAAAAUAAACACACAGACAAGAUUCUAUUCUCUAUUAUUCAUUUCUAAAUGUAUAGUAAUAUUCAAAAUUCAUACAUCUGUUACAAUACGUUACAAGAAUCAAAGCAUAAAACUGCUCGUUAAUCACUGUUCCCAAAUGGAAAAUAAAACUCUGACAGAUACAGUAAGUAAAACAGGUUAGUGGUAGCUAUUACACAUUUCUUUAUUAAUUCUUUCUGGAUAGAUAAAACCUGAAGUCCUUCAUGUACAGUAGGCAAAGGCGUAACCGCGAUCAACAACGCAAUAGAACGCAAUAGAACGCUAUGUAUCUGAGCGGCGAGUGGGAAACGGCGAGCUGUGUGUUAAAGGGGAACUUGUUAUAUGUCGUAUAUAUUAAUAGAUGCUACUCUGCAAAGCUGUCUGCAGACAUUUAUUGUACAACUUACUUUAUUCCAACUUACCUACUGUCUGUAGAAUAAUCAGGGAGCACAGCCGCUCACGCAGAAGGGAGGACAAUUAAAGGAACACUCCAAUCAGUACCGAGACGUUAAACUCCUUACAAUGGAGGGGCCAGUGCACUCCUGGCACCAUAACCACUGCAGCGUGUUCUAGUGGUUAUGGUGUUUGGAUUGUAACUUUAUCCUAAAUCCCUAAUAUAGUUUACAAAGGAAUAUGGACAUUACAAUGAAAAUGUUGUCCGUAGAAUACUCAGACAUACAGUUGCAAGAAAAAGUAUGUGAACCCUUUGGAAUUAUAUGGAUUUAUGCACAAAUUGGUCAUAAAAUGUAAUCUGAUCAUCAGUUAAGUCACAACAAUAGACAAUCACAGUCUGCUUAAACUAAUAACACACAAAGAAUGAAAUGUUGCCAUGUUUUUAUUGAACACACCAUGUAAACAUUCACAGUGCAGGUGGAAAAAGUAUGUGAACCCCUAGACUAAUGACAUCUCCAAGAGCUAAUUGGAGUGAGAUGUCAGCCAACUGGAAUCCAAUCAAUGAGAUGAGAUUGGAGGUGUUGGUUACAGCUGCCCUGCCCUAUAAAAAACACACACCAGUUCUGGGUUUGCUUUUCACAAGAAGCAUUGCCUGAUGUGAAUGAUGCCUCGCACAAAAGAGCUCUCAGAAGACCUACGAUUAAGAAUUGUUGACUUGCAUAAAGCUGGAAAGGG